GGGGGCGCUAAGGUUUCGACGGGGAAGCCGUAGGCGUGAAGGGCAUGCCGAGUUCGGAAUCUCGUAAAAAUCCGGCUAAAGUAACUGCAAACGACGAAUACGCUCUCGCUGCUGCUUAGUCAGCGACGCUCUCUGAUGGUUUGCCUGUGACUGUCAGAAGGGCGCCAGAAAACAGGCUGGUCUGAUAUGACGCCUUUGAGUAUCAGACGAGACUAAAAAGGCUUGCGAAGCUUAAGCCUGCCUGUGGGCUCUAAGCUUAGGACAACCAAUCACAGGAUAAGCAUGUAGUCCUUUAUGUCGAAAGUUCUUCGGACGCGGGUUCGAUUCCCGCCGCCUCCAUAU
Molecule: non-coding RNA, 342 nt
Organism: Calditerrivibrio nitroreducens DSM 19672
Lineage: Bacteria; Pseudomonadati; Deferribacterota; Deferribacteres; Deferribacterales; Calditerrivibrionaceae
Rfam family: transfer-messenger RNA
About the family: Bacterial tmRNA, also known as 10Sa RNA or SsrA, is named for its dual tRNA and mRNA-like properties. Its role is to liberate the mRNA from a stalled ribosome.
Source: Rfam